GUAGGUGGCAAGCGUUGUCCGGGAAUUAUUGGGGCGUAAAGCGCGCGCAGGCGGUUCUUAAAGUCUGAUGUGAAAGCCCACGGGCUCAACCGUGGAGGGUCAUUGGAAACUGGAGAACUUGAGUACAGAAGAGGAAAGCGGAAUUCCACGUGUAGCGGUGAAAUGCGUAGAGAUGUGGAGGAACACCAGUGGCGAAGGCGGCUUUCUGGUCUGUAACUGACGCUGAGGCGCGAAAGCGUGGGGAGCAAACAGGAUUAGAUACCCUGGUAGUCCACGCCGUAAACGAUGAGUGCUAAGUGUUAGGGGGUUUCCGCCCCUUAGUGCUGCAGCUAACGCACUAAGCACUCCGCCUGGGGAGUACGGCCGCAAAGGCUG
This 375-nucleotide ribosomal RNA is filed under the name uncultured organism. Its description in RNAcentral is "partial 16S ribosomal RNA". It matches the Rfam family "Bacterial small subunit ribosomal RNA", at positions 527 to 896 of the family's 1533-position model. The record is from RNAcentral.